Molecule: long non-coding RNA, 2006 nt
Organism: Amphiprion ocellaris (clown anemonefish)
Lineage: Eukaryota; Metazoa; Chordata; Actinopteri; Pomacentridae
Source: Ensembl
GAAGCCUCGGGUAUCAGAGGACCAUCACUAUCUCUGGCUGCUGUUGACCUUGUUUUUGGAGUAAAACACGAUGUUCAGAGGGAGAUGAUGCCACAUCUGGUCCAGCUGAUGGAAGGUCUUGAAGUUCUCUGACUGGCCUCGACUGAAGAUGGUCGUCUCACUGGAUUUAAGGUUCAGAUGCUCAGUAACAAACUCCACCAAUGAGCCAACAGGGAAGCUUUAGGUUUAUUAAAUGUUACUAUGAAGGUUUCGCUGUUUUUCUUUGUGAAUGCAAUGUGCUCCAACUGAAACUUGAAUUAGAACUUAGAAGUAAAUCCUUCCAUCUGAAAGAAUUAGUUGCAUUAAUAACCUCAUAACAUUCUAAUUUUUAUUCCAGUCUUGGUUGGAAAUAGAAUCUCUGUAGUGAUUCAGGUAAAAACUGAACUUCACAGCAUGUUGGAGCAAAACAACCAGAUGAAAACUGUGAUGGUGUUGGAUUGUCAGACCGUAAUGUUGCAGCUCAAAGCAGCUUUUCUAUCUCAGUUCAUUCUGACAUUCAGCUAUGAAUCAACACAGCAGAUGGUGAUCCAUGCUGUGGAAGUCUCACAUCUCCUGAUUUAAUGGAGCUGCUUUGCACUUUUUACACUGUUUAUUCACCAACACUUUAUUUAAUAAAAGUCCCAUCGAGUUUUUAUGAGGAAUGUGAUGUUUUAAUUUCUCUGUGAAUAACUGCAGUCUAAUGCAACAGCUGGAGUUGUAACAUCUGUCCUGAUAUUGAUCAUGAAGUAUUGAUCAGAAUACUUAUGGUCAGCAGUCAUCCCUGAAGUUUUACAUUAAAAUCUUUACUUGUGUUGUGAACUUUGGUAAGAAGCAGAAACGUUAGCAUUGCCAUGGAUACAUGAGUGUUAAAUUCUGUCCAUGUUUCAUUUUGGGAAAUGCAGUCCAGUUCCAGAAUGUGGAGGAAUUUAGUCUCACAAUCACAGACAACAAAUAUUAUCUGAAAGUCGGGUUAUUGUUGUUUAUCAGCACAAUACAAAAAGAUUAAUGUUAGAAAUAUUCCAGUUAAGACUCUAGAAUAUCAUGAUUUAUGUAAAUUUACCUCAAUAAUAUGAAUGUUCAGGUUAAGAUUGUGCAGUGAUAUUUAUAAUGUAAGUUUAGCUGAUUAAAGUUUAUGACUCUGCACUAAAAUAUUAUUUAAAUUGACAUCAUUAUUAUAAUAUUUAGGGUCAGACCCUACAGUAUUGAGAUUAAGAAAUCAAAUAUUCUAUAAAAUGUAAAUACACUGAACUCAUUUGGAUAUAUUUAAGUGAGACUCUACAAUAUUAUUUGACAAAUCUAUCUAAAUCAAAAUUUUAAUCAUUUUUACUCGAAACAUUUACUGAUCUGAUUUAAAUAUUAAAAUCACUCCUUUCUAAUCCUCUGCUGUACAUUCAAACCUGAGGCCUUAAAUAGAAACACACAAGUAUCUGAUUGAAGGAACUUCUGCAGAGUCCUGGUUCCAGAACAUGAUGAUAGAAUUAUAGACAAACUUUAACAAAAGCUGCCUGAGAGUUUACAGGUUUUUAUGUUGGAUUUCUUCAGUAAUUUAAUGAGAGUUAUCGGCAAAAAUCAAGUGUUCAUUUGAUGAACUUCAUUUCCUGAAACAUCCAGAAUUGGAGCUCAUAUCUUUGGCAGCUGUAAAGUUUCUGCUCCUUCAAAGUUCACAACACAAUGAAUUAAUUCCUAAAACCCUCUCAAUGCUGGAGAGCGUUUGUGACGCUGAAGCAGUGAUCAGUUUUUCUGUUUCUUCUCUGGAGCUGCACAAUGAGGGACGUCUGCAGCGACUGAGAAAGAGUCUCACCACAUCCUGACAUGAGGAAAAAGACUUUAUUGAAGACUAUAAUGAGGAAAACUAUCAGACAGCAGAUGGCUGCAUUCAAGUUUUGAACUGUUUUGUUGUCUGGGAGUGGGUGCUCUGUGUUUGUGUGCAUCUUUGUCUCGUCCUUGUUUUCUGUGUAAGUGGUCUGUUUCGUCCUGUUGGUUUGUAG